RNAcentral lists this ribosomal RNA (466 nucleotides) under uncultured Acidobacteriota bacterium. RNAcentral describes it as "bacterial SSU rRNA". It matches the Rfam family "Bacterial small subunit ribosomal RNA", at positions 338 to 795 of the family's 1533-position model. The record is from RNAcentral. Lineage: Bacteria; Pseudomonadati; Acidobacteriota.
CCUACGGGAGGCUGCAGUGGGGAAUUGUUCGCAAUGGGCGCAAGCCUGACGACGCAACGCCGCGUGGAGGAUGAAGGGCUUCGGCUCGUAAACUCCUUUCGACCGAGAUGAAUACCCGCAGACUUAAUACGUUUGCGGACUGACAGUAUCGAGGGAAGAAGCCCCGGCUAACUCCGUGCCAGCAGCCGCGGUAAUACGGGGGGGGCAAGCGUUGUUCGGAAUUACUGGGCGUAAAGGGUUCGUAGGUGGCCAACUAAGUCAUACGUGAAAUCCCUCAGCUUAACUGGGGAACUGCGUCUGAUACUGGUUGGCUUGAGUGCAGGAGAGGAACGCGGAAUUCCAGGUGUAGCGGUGAAAUGCGUAGAUAUCUGGAGGAACACCGGUGGCGAAGGCGGCGUUCUGGACUGUAACUGACACUGAGGCGCGAAAGCCAGGGGAGCAAACGGGAUUAGAUACCCGAGUAGUC